Long non-coding RNA from Ruditapes philippinarum (Manila clam), 1519 nucleotides. RefSeq lists it as uncharacterized. The record is from RefSeq and is a predicted model, not a curated record. NCBI's taxonomy places the organism in Eukaryota, Metazoa, Mollusca, Bivalvia, Venerida, Veneridae. The transcript is spliced from 5 exons.
GACUGAUGAUAACAGUAAUUUGACAGUUUAAUUUUUUAACGGUUAUUUCUUUAAAUUGUAUCGGAUAUUGUUUAGAAAUAAAGGACAGAUAUUUGGGAUAAAAGAAAAACGGCCUUCUCGUGCAGUGACAUAUUGUGGGUUAUUUCGCUAAUGUUAUACGAGAAAAAAAGAUAAAAUGGAAGAUGUCCUGUUUAAUUUGUGGUUUAUGACUGUCUUAUUCAUCGGUUUAAUGUAUAUAGGAUUUAGCAAUGCAGAUAUUAUAUAUAAAAGGUUGAUUAUAACCUUUGUUUAUGUUAAUCUUAUCAUCUGGAUCUAUAGUAGAAGGGGAGUUGAGGAUGUAUUUUACAACGUGCUCUUGUCUUCAGCCUGGGUCUGGACAUUUAAUCAAAAUAGUACGCAAGAGCGUACCUGUUUCACUUGCAGGGAACCAUCUCAUUUUAAUACCAAAAAGCGUAAAGCAGAACCUCAACUAUCUGAAGUUAUCAGCAAGAAGAUCACAACAAAUGAGACAGUCACGCAUAUUUACGACUCUUGUGAAAGCGAAAUUUCGAAAAAAGUGGUUGACAUAAUAAUGGAUGCAAUGUUUAAAAAGUACAAAAAAACUUAACAAAUUGUCCAGUGAUGAGGAAAUGAAAUUUGAUCGUCCAGUUAUAGUUGUUGCCAUACUUGACACGAGGUUCAUAUCCAAUAUAGAAGGCGCCUUAAGUAAUAUUAAUGAACAACACUAUAAUAAGGUUGCUCUUGUUAUUGGUCAUGUGAAAAUAAAAGAUAAGACAGCACGGGCGGCAGAAUUGAAAACUCAUGAAAAAUAUGGGAAGCUUGGACUUUGUGUGGACUUCUUUUAUGAAAACACCAACGACUUCUUCAUGAAACAACUUAUCUUUAACAAAUACAUGGAGUCGUUAAUUAAUUUGAUAGGUUUUAAUAAAAUGAUAUCCUACCGUAACAAAGAUGCAUUCGAUAAACUAGAAAAAUUUAUCGACGAAUUUUAAGCUUAUCAUGUGAUGCUGCAGGAAAGAUCAUCUCUCUGUAUACGCUAUCGAGUAACAGUGUCAGUGUGUAUUUUGAAAUUGAUGCAUGUUGUCAGAUCAUAAUAUCACAUGUCACAUAUAGUGCAACUUCGUAGCCACUGAAAACCGAAAACAUGUUGGGCUAGCAGAUUUUUAAAGUUUCUGUUAUUUAGAAGUUUUGAAUUAUCUGAAUAUGUAGAAAGCAUCAGCUACGUAACACAUAAUAAAAAGUACAUGGUGUUGAUAAAAUUCAUAAAAUGGCAAAAAUUGAUGUUUCGUAAAAAGUUAAUAAAAUUUAUAAUACACAUUACUGACGUUGUUGAUACAAUAGCAUAAACUCAACAUCACAACCUAUCCAUAAACAUUUAUUUGUAGUACCAGCUAUUAACGUUUAUUUUUUUGUUUUCGUAAUAUAUUUAUCAGUUUCUUUUACUUACACUUUAAUCAAGGGCUUGACAUGCUUGGCAGGUUUUGAUUCUAAUGAAGUCAAAAUAAAUAGUCACUGCUGA